This 253-nucleotide ribosomal RNA is filed under the name uncultured bacterium. RNAcentral describes it as "partial 16S ribosomal RNA". It matches the Rfam family "Bacterial small subunit ribosomal RNA", at positions 524 to 776 of the family's 1533-position model. The record is from RNAcentral.
UACGGAGGGGGCUAGCGUUGUUCGGAAUUACUGGGCGUAAAGCGCACGUAGGCGGCUUUGUAAGUUAGAGGUGAAAGCCCGGAGCUCAACUCCGGAAUUGCCUUUAAGACUGCAUCGCUAGAAUUGUGGAGAGGUGAGUGGAAUUCCGAGUGUAGAGGUGAAAUUCGUAGAUAUUCGGAAGAACACCAGUGGCGAAGGCGACUCACUGGACAAAUAUUGACGCUGAGGUGCGAAAGCGUGGGGAGCAAACAGG